GCAGCCGCGGUAAUACGGAGGAUGCGAGCGUUAUCCGGAUUUAUUGGGUUUAAAGGGUGCGUAGGCGGAUUUCUAAGUCAGCGGUCAAAUGUCGGGGCUCAACCCCGGCCUGCCGUUGAAACUGGAGGUCUUGAGUGGGCGAGAAGUAUGCGGAAUGCGUGGUGUAGCGGUGAAAUGCAUAGAUAUCACGCAGAACUCCGAUUGCGAAGGCAGCAUACCGGCGCCCGACUGACGCUGAGGCACGAAAGCGUGGGUAUCGAACAGGAUUAGAUACCCC
This 277-nucleotide ribosomal RNA is filed under the name uncultured bacterium. Its description in RNAcentral is "partial 16S ribosomal RNA". It matches the Rfam family "Bacterial small subunit ribosomal RNA", at positions 511 to 788 of the family's 1533-position model. The record is from RNAcentral.